This 452-nucleotide ribosomal RNA is filed under the name uncultured Rhodocyclaceae bacterium. RNAcentral's name for it is "bacterial SSU rRNA". It matches the Rfam family "Bacterial small subunit ribosomal RNA", at positions 930 to 1382 of the family's 1533-position model. Lineage: Bacteria; Pseudomonadati; Pseudomonadota; Betaproteobacteria; Rhodocyclales; Rhodocyclaceae. The record is from RNAcentral.
CGGUGGAUGAUGUGGAUUAAUUCGAUGCAACGCGAAAACCUUACCUACCCUUGACAUGUCCGGAAUCCCGAAGAGAUUUGGGAGUGCUCGCAAGAGAGCCGGAACACAGGUGCUGCAUGGCUGUCGUCAGCUCGUGUCGUGAGAUGUUGGGUUAAGUCCCGCAACGAGCGCAACCCUUGUCAUUAGUUGCCAUCAUUUGGUUGGGCACUCUAAUGAGACUGCCGGUGACAAACCGGAGGAAGGUGGGGAUGACGUCAAGUCCUCAUGGCCCUUAUGGGUAGGGCUUCACACGUCAUACAAUGGUCGGUACAGAGGGUUGCCAACCCGCGAGGGGGAGCUAAUCCCACAAAGCCGAUCGUAGUCCGGAUCGCAGUCUGCAACUCGACUGCGUGAAGUCGGAAUCGCUAGUAAUCGUGGAUCAGCAUGUCACGGUGAAUACGUUCCCGGGUCUU